RNAcentral lists this transfer RNA (73 nucleotides) under Otolemur garnettii (small-eared galago). It matches the Rfam family "tRNA". From Rfam's summary of the family: Transfer RNA (tRNA) molecules are approximately 80 nucleotides in length. Their secondary structure includes four short double-helical elements and three loops (D, anti-codon, and T loops). Lineage: Eukaryota; Metazoa; Chordata; Mammalia; Primates; Galagidae. The record is from Rfam by way of RNAcentral.
GCGCCUGUAGCUCAGUGGGUAGAGCACUAGCCACGUAUACCAAGGCUGGCAGGUUCGAACCCUGCUGGGCCUG